Long non-coding RNA from Phyllopteryx taeniolatus (common seadragon), 2551 nucleotides. RefSeq lists it as uncharacterized. NCBI's taxonomy places the organism in Eukaryota, Metazoa, Chordata, Actinopteri, Syngnathiformes, Syngnathidae. The record is from RefSeq and is a predicted model, not a curated record. The transcript is spliced from 6 exons.
UGGUCUUCCAGGAAGAGCCACGCCACUCGUUGCUAUUUACCCGCAGACACUUUGCGUGGAGAAGUACAGAAACAGGCCAGGUCCACUUACGCUGUCCUCCUCUCAGCUGCCCCUCGUAGUUUGCAGCUGGAUUCCUUGGAAAUAUGCUCGAAAGAGUGAUGAAGUCUGUGGUCUGAUUCUAACAGAGCAUUUGGCUUCCAUUUGGGUGGUGAUUGGCUCUCAGAAGCCAGCACAGCUUCACUGGCCUGAAAGAACGGCUAACUGAAUGCAAAAAUGUUGGACUAAAGAACGGUGGAACGGUGGACGAGUGAUUAGCACAUCUACCUCUCAGUUCUGAGGUUGGGGGUUUGAAUCCGGGCUCCUGCCUUCCUGUGUGAAGAUUGCAUGUUCUCCCCGUGCCUGCGUGGGUUUUCUCCAGGUCGCAUUUCAGUCAAAGCUGAGGAGCGGCUGACCUCAGCUGUACUGUGAGCCGCACCCUGUGAGCCGUUGGAACUGCCGAGAAGGAUGACAUCAUCAUGGUGAUGCCAUGCACGCAGAGGCGCUUGUUCGCAAAUAAAGAAUGUGUGCAGCUUGAGGAUCGGUGGAAGAGCGUGAAGCUCGGCAGACCGGCGAGAGCGGCGGCCGCGGAAAAGCUCAAGUGAAAGCGCCGCCGUUGCCGCUGCUGACAGAUGAAUGACUCUAAUUAGAAAUCCAUAACAUCCUGCCACAUGGCCGCCUUAUCCCCAGCGCGCUUCCUGCUCUGGGCCGGCCUGACGACAGCCAGCCCAGCUUGCUCCUUCCGUCACUCAAAGCCACCAUUCCUCCACCUCCCCCCCACGGUGUCCGGACCAGCCCAGGGCACGAGUUGAGCAAGUCCAGAGAGCAACGCUGGGAAUCCAGACGAUAACACGAGCUGCAGGCCUGGAGGAUUCUCGAGGUGCCAACUCGGAGGAUAAGCAGCAGCAGUGGGCCAGGAGAGGAACAGCCGCUCUCAUUAAACAAGACAUAAUGGGCUUUCACGAGACAUCAUGAGCGCUUGCACAAAACCCUAACGGCCCUGCUGCAGCGUCUCCGCACCAUUAUGAGCCCCUCCACAUCUCUGGAGGCCUGGGCCAGCCUCUCGUCACCCCGGCAUCCUGAUCGUGGGUACUUCCCUGCUGGAUCUUGAGAGGCUGCACUACAGCGCCACAUCAGAGGAGCUUGCUGAUCUCCUGAUCUCCACCAGCCUUAAAAGUCCUCCAUGGCGAAGCCAGCCAGUUGCUUGUGGUAAAGUAGUUCCCUGCCAAGACGGGGUGAAAAUUGUCAUCAGUAGUGUAGUCAGCCAAGGAACAUGAAUGCACUAUUCUGAUCUUGGACCUCAACUACAUCAAUCAUCUUGGAUUGGAUGUCAUUCAAAAUGUAUCGGUUCCUACGGUGACACAGAUCAAUCAUGUCCGAAAGUAAGCUCUGAUUGGCUGAGCUCGCCAAAGGAACAUGUUUCACUCACCUGACCAAGUAUCUUGAAUCAGUUAUCCUUUGAAAAUAAUGGCAUUGUUCGAUUGUUCGACGAAACGAUUGCGAUACGAGUUACCCAACAUACGAAUUUUGCAAGGUACGAGCUGCUGUUUGGCCGAUUUUUUUAUGCUUUGAGAUGAGAGCAAAAAUUUGAGACACAAGCGCUGUCUGGUGGCACCGAUCUCAACCCAAUUAAUUUCAGUUUGGCAGGUAGGGAUGAAUUUUUCAAAACAAGGGUCUUCAAGCUGUUUAUUGCCACUCCUGAUUGAAGUUUAUUGUCAAACUAAACAUAUCAUAUUCAGAAUUACACAUUGUGUAUUUAAAAUUAACCAAAUAGCUUGGCUUAAAGUCCGCUUAGCUUAAUGCUAGCAACACCAGGAGGAGCAGCACAAUCUCCAUUGAAUUGAAGCAAAAAAUGUGGCAAAAACUAUUUUAAUUCGUUGCAUUCUAUUGACCUAUGUCAUUUCGGCACAUUUUUAUAAAGUACAAUAUUGUAGAGUGCUACUAAUAAAAAACACAUUCAAAAAUGUUUCGCUGGCUGGAACGUAUUAAUGGGAUUUCUAUUCAUUUCCAUGGCGAAAGAUGAUUUGAGAUACAAAUGUUUUGCGUUACAAGGGUGGUCACGGAACGACAUGAACUCAUCUCACCACUGUAUCUUGGUUUGGAAAUACAGUUCUUCAAAAUCAAUAAGGUUCUUGCUGGAAGACACAAAGAUAAUGCCCAAAAACAAAAAAAUGUUUUGCUGCAACUGUGAUUGCCAGUGCUCCGCAUGGUUCCUUCGUAAUGAAAAGGAUUCUUGCAGUGAAACAGACACUUUCAUGUCCACUCAUUAUAGAAAGAAUCCAACUCCUAUGCAGUGUUCUUGUUGUCCUAUAUUGGACUGUUGUAAUACUGUUAUUGUUCUCUGCUGUUUUUGUUCUUUUCCGUGUCUGACUGCAUUUUCAAUAAAUAUCCAUCACAAUGCAAAUAACCACAGGGACACGAUAUUAAACCCACAAUAAAACAAUACAAUAAAAUUCUUCCGGUAUAAAAAGGCAUACAGAUCGGAGCCUAACAGGACUAAAAUGUAACCCACAUC